UCCCUACGGGGGGCAGCAGUGGGGAAUAUUGGACAAUGGGGGCAACCCUGAUCCAGCCAUGCCGCGUGAGUGAUGAAGGCCCUAGGGUUGUAAAGCUCUUUUGUGCGGGAAGAUAAUGACGGUACCGCAAGAAUAAGCCCCGGCUAACUUCGUGCCAGCAGCCGCGGUAAUACGAAGGGGGCUAGCGUUGCUCGGAAUCACUGGGCGUAAAGGGUGCGUAGGCGGGUUUUUAAGUCAGGGGUGAAAUCCUGGAGCUCAACUCCAGAACUGCCUUUGAUACUGAAGAUCUUGAGUCCGGGAGAGGG
RNAcentral lists this ribosomal RNA (305 nucleotides) under uncultured bacterium. RNAcentral describes it as "bacterial SSU rRNA". It matches the Rfam family "Bacterial small subunit ribosomal RNA", at positions 335 to 658 of the family's 1533-position model. The record is from RNAcentral.